CCUACGGGUGGCUGCAGUCGAGAAUCAUUCACAAUGGGGGAAACCCUGAUGGUGCGACGCCGCGUGGGGGAAUGAAGGUCUUCGGAUUGUAAACCCCUGUCAUGUGGGAGCAAAUUAAAAAGAUAGUACCACAGGAGGAAGAGACUGCUAACUCUGUGCCAGCAGCCGCGGUAAUCCAGAGGUCUCAAGCUGUGUUCGGAAUCACUGGGCCUAAAGCGUGCGUAGGCUGGUUCGUUAGUCGUGUGUGAAAUGCCCGGGCUCAAACCGCGGACGGAACAUGAUACUGGGAGACUAGAGUAAGGGAGGGGGAACCGGAAUUCCAGGUGUAGCAGUGAAAUGCGUAGAUAUCGAGAGGAACA
This 359-nucleotide ribosomal RNA is filed under the name uncultured bacterium. Its description in RNAcentral is "partial 16S ribosomal RNA". It matches the Rfam family "Bacterial small subunit ribosomal RNA", at positions 338 to 708 of the family's 1533-position model. The record is from RNAcentral.